Molecule: long non-coding RNA, 498 nt
Organism: Lactuca sativa (garden lettuce)
Lineage: Eukaryota; Viridiplantae; Streptophyta; Magnoliopsida; Asterales; Asteraceae
Source: RefSeq, a predicted model, not a curated record
UGACAUGUGGCACCAAGUUCAGCCACAUUUCACCCUAUAAAUACCACCUCUCCCACCCUCAUUUUCUUCACACCUUUCCCAUUCUUUCUUCUCUUUACUCUCUCUCUCUCUCUAGAACCUCUCUCUAGCCCCGAAAUCCCCCGAAAAGCCUAGGGAACCUCCCUAGCACGAGGCGGAAGCCCCGGAGUGCUCGAAGGCUCCGAGAAGAAGAGCUUUUCGGCUCGGGAACGCUGCUCCAAGCAAAGCCCGGUUUUCUAUAAAACCCGCUGUUUCGUCGAAGAAAAUUCUUUUUAAGAAGCGAAGCGCUGUCUGAGUUCGGAAUCACCACCUUUUCAGGUAGUGGCGCUUGAGCAUAUAUAUGAUGUUUGGACGAGGGAUUACGGAUAUAGGCCUGUAGAUAUGAAAUAAUGUAGUAAGGCUUGUAUUGUACUGUUUAUGCUUUUGAUCUGUACGAACAUGACAUCCCGAGUCUUUUAAUGAAAUACAUUUCUAUGGAAA